This 220-nucleotide long non-coding RNA is filed under the name Meriones unguiculatus (Mongolian gerbil). RNAcentral's name for it is "lncRNA (ENSMUGG00000027075.1)". The record is from RNAcentral. Lineage: Eukaryota; Metazoa; Chordata; Mammalia; Rodentia; Muridae.
AUGUGUGUCCCCCAGAACAGAAGGCACUGCAAGCUUUAUGCUAAGACAGCCUCAAUUCUGAUUUUCAAGGGCUCUGAUGGCAGAAGUGGACAUGCAAUGCACCUUUCUAUUUCAAAGGUGGCUGAAUGGAGGCUCCAGUAGAUUAUAUCAUCUUGUUAUGCUGUAAUAAGAAUUUUACCAUUAAAACAAUAAAUUGCAUUUGGAGAAGUGUGCCUUUUCA